RNAcentral lists this ribosomal RNA (599 nucleotides) under uncultured bacterium. Its description in RNAcentral is "bacterial SSU rRNA". It matches the Rfam family "Bacterial small subunit ribosomal RNA", at positions 8 to 600 of the family's 1533-position model. The record is from RNAcentral.
AGAGUUUGAUCAUGGCUCAGAUUGAACGCUGGCGGCGUGCUUAACAUAUGCAAGUCGAGCGGUAGCAGGCGUAGCAAUACGUGCUGACGAGCGGCGAACGGGUGAGUAAUGCUUCGGAAUCUUCCUCGUAGUGGGGAACAACCUGGGGAAACUCAGGCUAAUACCGCAUACGACCUAUGGGUGAAAGCAGGGGAUCGCAAGACCUUGCGCUAUGAGAUGAGCCGAAGUCGGAUUAGCUAGUUGGUGAGGUAAAGGCUCACCAAGGCGACGAUCCGUAGCUGGUCUGAGAGGACGACCAGCCACACUGGGACUGAGACACGGCCCAGACUCCUACGGGAGGCAGCAGUGGGGAAUAUUGGACAAUGGGGGCAACCCUGAUCCAGCGACGCCGCGUGUGUGAAGAAGGCCUGCGGGUUGUAAAGCACUUUUAGUGGGGACAAAAAGCCAAGGAUUAAUACCCUUUGGUCUUGAUUUAACCCAAAGAAAAAGCACCGGCUAACUCUGUGCCAGCAGCCGCGGUAAUACAGAGGGUGCAAGCGUUAAUCGGAAUUACUGGGCGUAAAGCGUGCGUAGUCGGUUAUCUAAGUCGGAUGUGAAAU